Long non-coding RNA from Bacillus rossius redtenbacheri, 207 nucleotides. RefSeq lists it as uncharacterized. The record is from RefSeq and is a predicted model, not a curated record. The transcript is spliced from 3 exons. Lineage: Eukaryota; Metazoa; Arthropoda; Insecta; Phasmatodea; Bacillidae.
GCCGCGGGACACGCUGACCAGCCGCUCCUCUGGAGUCUUUGCGCAGGAAGUCGAGAUCCAUUGCCGCCCGGAGAUGUCGCAAAGUGAAGUUUUCAGAAUGGACGGAUCAUGACAAUGGUAUUCCUGAGAUUGAAAGCACGGGAGAGGAUGAAGGGGAGGAGCCGCCGCCUGUGCCGCUGACCUCCGCCCACCCGCUGCUGCGCGUGC